RNAcentral lists this ribosomal RNA (497 nucleotides) under uncultured bacterium. RNAcentral describes it as "partial 16S ribosomal RNA". It matches the Rfam family "Bacterial small subunit ribosomal RNA", at positions 28 to 507 of the family's 1533-position model. The record is from RNAcentral.
GAUGAACGCUGGCGGCGUGCCUAAUACAUGCAAGUCGAGCGAACAGACGAGGAGCUUGCUCCUCUGACGUUAGCGGCGGACGGGUGAGUAACACGUGGAUAACCUACCUAUAAGACUGGGAUAACUUCGGGAAACCGGAGCUAAUACCGGAUAAUAUAUUGAACCGCAUGGUUCAAUAGUGAAAGACGGUUUUGCUGUAACUUAUAGAUGGAUCCGCGCCGCAUUAGCUAGUUGGUAAGGUAACGGCUUACCAAGGCGACGAUGCGUAGCCGACCUGAGAGGAUGAUCGGCCACACUGGAACUGAGACACGGUCCAGACUCCUACGGGAGGCAGCAGUAGGGAAUCUUCCGCAAUGGGCGAAAGCCUGACGGAGCAACGCCGCGUGAGUGAUGAAGGUCUUCGGAUCGUAAAACUCUGUUAUUAGGGAAGAACAAAUGUGUAAGUAACUAUGCACGUCCUGACGGUACCUAAUCAGAAAGCCACGGCUAACUACGUG